RNAcentral lists this non-coding RNA (30 nucleotides) under Mus musculus (house mouse). Lineage: Eukaryota; Metazoa; Chordata; Mammalia; Rodentia; Muridae. The record is from RNAcentral.
UAAGCCCUAUGGGGUCAGGGGCAACGCCGU